GUCGGGUCUGUGGUUGAAAGUCGAUGCCAGUCGCAGGCAAAGCGAUCCACGUAAGCGGAACAAAGCUUCCGUGAGCAUGGUGCGGUUUAGAAGUAAGUCCUGUCGGCGUCCGUUCGGACAGCCGAGAGAGGCAGUAGUGAGAGGACGAUUCCGGGUAGCGAACCCUCCAACAGGCGAGUGUGGGGUCAAAGACCAGGUCAGCCGAC
This 206-nucleotide non-coding RNA is filed under the name human gut metagenome. Its description in RNAcentral is "raiA RNA". It matches the Rfam family "raiA RNA". The record is from RNAcentral.